This 456-nucleotide ribosomal RNA is filed under the name uncultured bacterium. RNAcentral describes it as "bacterial SSU rRNA". It matches the Rfam family "Bacterial small subunit ribosomal RNA", at positions 343 to 796 of the family's 1533-position model. The record is from RNAcentral.
UGGAGGCAGCAGUGAGGAAUAUUGGUCAAUGGGCGCAAGCCUGAACCAGCCAUCCCGCGUGCAGGAAGAAGGCGCUAUGCGUUGUAAACUGCUUUUCCAGGGGGCGAAUAGCUUCUACGUGUAGAGGUAUGACGGUACCCUGGGAAUAAGCAUCGGCUAACUCCGUGCCAGCAGCCGCGGUAAUACGGAGGAUGCGAGCGUUAUCCGGAUUUAUAGGGUUUAAAGGGUGCGUAGGCGGGAUAAUAAGUCAGUGGUGAAAACCUGCAGCUUAACUGUAGAACUGCCAUUGAUACUGUUAUUCUUGAGUGUGGUCAAGGUAGGCGGAAUGUGUAAUGUAGCGGUGAAAUGCUUAGAUAUUACACAGAACACCGAUUGCGAAGGCAGCUUAUUGGACCAUUACUGACGCUGAUGCACGAAAGCGUGGGGAGCGAACAGGAUUAGAUACCCUAGUAGUCC